CCUACGGGAGGCUGCAGUAGGGAAUAUUGCUCAAUGGGGGAAACCCUGAAGCAGCAACGCCGCGUGGGGGAUGAAGGUUUUAGGAUUGUAAACUCCUUUUGUGAGAGAAGAUAAUGACGGUAUCUCACGAAUAAGCACCGGCUAACUCCGUGCCAGCAGCCGCGGUAAUACGGAGGGUGCAAGCGUUACUCGGAAUCACUGGGCGUAAAGAGUGCGUAGGCGGGGUUGUAAGUCAGAUGUGAAAUCCUGUAGCUGAACCACAGAACUGCAUUUGAAACUGUGAGUCUAGAGUAUGGGAGAGGUAGGUGGAAUUCUUGGUGUAGGGGUAAAAUCCGUAGAGAUCAAGAGGAAUACUCAUGGCGAAGGCGACCUGCUGGAACAUAACUGACGGUGAUGCGCGAAAGCGUGGGGAGCAAACAGGAUUAGAUACCCUAGUAGUC
Molecule: ribosomal RNA, 440 nt
Filed under: uncultured bacterium
Lineage: Bacteria
Description: partial 16S ribosomal RNA
Rfam family: Bacterial small subunit ribosomal RNA
Source: RNAcentral